Molecule: RNA transcript, 2871 nt
Organism: Nymphaea colorata (pocket water lily)
Lineage: Eukaryota; Viridiplantae; Streptophyta; Magnoliopsida; Nymphaeales; Nymphaeaceae
Exons: 12
Source: RefSeq, a predicted model, not a curated record
GCGUACGAUGGGCAGAGAGUGCCACAACGAUGGCGCCGAUCUCGUGCUGCCUGUUUUGCCUAACAACACAGCAAGAACAAUUAGAAAAGGGUUCAGGAAAAAUAUAGGGAGAAGAAUACGAAGACCCAAGACUCUAAAUUGGUGAUUUUGCCGGGGAAGUGCGAAAACUGUCCGGAUCUUCUGAGGAGAAACGCGGGGUAGACCGAUAAUCGGCGGCAAGAUGGACGAGCGUCUGCAGAUGGAACGCGUCAGAGAGCUCGACAUGGAGCAGCUGGAGGUGGAAGAGGUGGACGACGAUGGCCGCCAUUCUUCUUCCUCCGAAGAAUCGAGCGGGUGCCAUGACGACGGUGGGACGGGUUCAUUUGGUCGACUCACAUUUGACACUGGCUUGGCUUCAAUGCAUGCCUACCUCGGUGAGGUUGAUGACACUCAUCAUAGGAUGCCAUUCCUGGAUGGGGGUACCAUCAUCGAUUUGCCAAUGUUCUACCUUGAAGGCAUCGUUCUUUUUCCAGAAGCAACGAUCCCUUUUAGAGUCAUUCAACCUAGGUUUGUGGCGGCUGUAGAGAGAGCAAUGGGACAGGUCGAUGCUCCUUGUUUAAUUGGUGUGGUUCGCGUGCAUAGGUCACAUGCUAAUGGGCUUCGCUUUGCAUCAGUGGGUACUACAGCAGAGAUUAAACAAUAUCGUCGAUUAGAAGAUGGUUCCCUGAACAUCGUUGCUCGUGGCCAACAAAGAUUUCAUGUGCUAAAAAGUUGGAUCGAUGUUGAAGGAGCACCUUGUGCACAGGUUGAAGUUGUUAAUGAAGAAACACCAUUGAGAACUCCAAAAGAUGCAUUUGGACAGUUGGCCUCCAUCAUUAAUUUUCAAAGUGGCAGUGUCUCACAUGUAGAUAACAUGAACACUUCUCAUAGAAGUGAGGAAAGCGACUGUGAUAGUGCUCAAAGUUUUCACAUUGUUCACUCAGUAAAAAAGGAGAAUGUGCUGCAGUACUGCAGUGAGUCUGAUAGAAUGGAUGAAUCAACCAGUGGAAGUGAUGAUGAAUAUGAUCAUGCAUUGUUCAAUAAGUUGGGAAUUUCUCAUUUGGCUGUUUCAAGAAGACCAUCCAUGCAUCCUUCUAGGCAAAGUGCAAAUGACAAUGGUAGCAUUGAGCAAUGCACUGGUACAGAUAGAGGAGCAAUAAAAGGGGAAAAAUCUGCAGAUGCAGGACAGGAGACUGCUAAACAAGCCUGGGCAGCAGAUGAAUCUAAGUGGUUGUGUAGAGCUCAGAAAUCCUUCUGGCCGCAUUGGGUGUACAAAAUGUAUGAUGUGGAUAUUCUUGCUCGAAGGGCUGCGGACAUGUGGAGGCAAAUAAUUGGAUAUCCUAACAUUGAAGGCCUGAUAAGAAAACCCAAUUUCUUAUCAUUCUUUAUUGCAAGUAAAAUUCCGGUAUCAGAUUCAACAAAGCAAGAGUUGCUUGAGAUAGAUGGCAUUGCCUACCGACUACGAAGAGAAAUACAGCUUCUGGAGCAGUUUGAUCGUGUUCGUUGUAAACAUUGUCUGACUGUGAUUGCAAGGCGUAGUGAAAUGAUUGUGAUGUCCAGAGAUGGACCUUCAAAUGCAUUUGUGAACCCACACGGCUAUGUGCAUGAAAUCAUGACCCUGAAAAAUACAAAGGGGUUAGUUCGUCUUGGACGUCCUGUUACCGAGCACAGCUGGUUUCCGGGGUAUGCUUGGACAAUUGUGAACUGUGCUACUUGUGAGUCUAACAUGGGUUGGCUGUUCACUGCAACAAACAAGAGGUUGCAGCCAAGGUCAUUUUGGGGCAUCAGGAGUUCACAACUUGCAGAUAACGUGCAAUAAGAAGCCUCUUAGAAUAGUAAAAGAUAUAGGGUAACCGCUCUGAUGAUGGGUGGUUCAAGUCUGCUCUGCAUGUUUAUCUACACGUGCAUUCAGCAUCAAAGUGAGAGUUGUGCAGAACGCAACAUACCCUCUUUGCACACACAGAGGGAGAGAGAUCCUUAUAAAUGUUGUAAAGGACACCUGUAAGCAUGUGGUUGGGUACUAGCAAAAGGGUGUGACAGAAGCUACGGACGGUAGCAAGGUCCUUCAUGGCGGUGGUCUGAGCAAACUAUGUUCUUCAGGCUGGAAUCUAUUCCUAUCAUCGGUUACAUCACGUAUAUUGUACAGUGUGGUGAAGUCAGAAUAAGCGCCCUUGGGGCAUGGAACCUGCACACAGGAACCCUGACAUUGCUUUAGACAAUUAAAUGAAGCUGGGUGUACUGCAUGCAGUUGCCAAACGGACUUGAGACUUGGGAGGAGGCAUUUUUUUCUCAACAGUUCAUGGAACUCCGAGCAUUGGUUUCCUGACCCUAACUUGGAAGUCUGAGGUCUAAUCCCAGAGCUGGAGAUCUUGUUGUCUCGUUCAAAACAAUUGCUGAUUUUGGGCGAGAAGUUGAAAGCUGUAGGUGAUACCGAGAAGCAAGCCAAGGUGCACAGCUCGUCCGAACUUGUCAUAUGAUAGUGUUCUCAAAUCGCUAAAGGUUAUUGGCUCAGUAAACCUAGUUUGAACUGUUCACAGCUGGCACCUUAUCUUCACUAUGCCAGUUUAAGUUUAUAAUUUAUCCGUCACUAGACAGCUUCUCGACAAGAAAAUGUUUCAAGUGAUAGACCAAGUCUAUUUCCUGGUACUGCUGUCUCUUCACGGCUGUCAUUACUAGUCACACCUUCCAGGCUUAGGACAGCUUCUCUGCUCUUGACUGAAAUGGUUCAAGAACAGAUUUUUCAGACUUUUUCUUUCUUCUUGUGCUAACUGACUGAGCUCUCCCUACGUCCUUGCUAACCGAUACCUGGAUACGUUAAAACGUGUUGUACCAUGCAAAUGCUGUGAAAAAAUG